AAACUAGAGGCUCUAAAGAGCCUGUGUCGCUCACCUUGGUCUAUGUGAAUAUUAAACAAAGGAAGCAGAUGGAUUCAUGACAAAAUUGUGUUUUGGUGAUGGUGAUGUGUUUGUACAUCUUACUUUACUGAAUAUUCUUGCUACUUACAAUUAUCUCUAUCUAUAAUGAACUUGGCCCAGUAGUUUCAGUGGAAAAUGUUAGUUAAAAUUUACAAAUUUUAUGAAAAUUGUUAAAAAUUGACUAUCAAGGACAAUAACUCCUUAGGGGUCAAUUGACCAUUUCCGUCAUGUUGACUUAUUUGUAAAUUUUACUUUGCUUAACAUUUAAUUUAUUGAUGUUUACAGUUUAUCUCUAUCUAUAAUAAUAUUCAAGAU
Molecule: long non-coding RNA, 375 nt
Filed under: Mytilus galloprovincialis (Mediterranean mussel)
Lineage: Eukaryota; Metazoa; Mollusca; Bivalvia; Mytilida; Mytilidae
Source: RNAcentral